Molecule: ribosomal RNA, 496 nt
Filed under: uncultured bacterium
Lineage: Bacteria
Description: partial 16S ribosomal RNA
Rfam family: Bacterial small subunit ribosomal RNA
Source: RNAcentral
GAUGAACGCUGGCGGCGUGCCUAAUACAUGCAAGUCGAGCGAACAGACGAGGAGCUUGCUCCUCUGACGUUAGCGGCGGACGGGUGAGUAACACGUGGAUAACCUACCUAUAAGACUGGGAUAACUUCGGGAAACCGGAGCUAAUACCGGAUAAUAUAUUGAACCGCAUGGUUCAAUAGUGAGAGACGGUUUUGCUGUCACUUAUAGAUGGAUCCGCGCCGCAUUAGCUAGUUGGUAAGGUAACGGCUUACCAAGGCAACGAUGCGUAGCCGACCUGAGAGGGUGAUCGGCCACACUGGAACUGAGACACGGUCCAGACUCCUACGGGAGGCAGCAGUAGGGAAUCUUCCGCAAUGGGCGAAAGCCUGACGGAGCAACGCCGCGUGAGUGAUGAAGGUCUUCGGAUCGUAAAACUCUGUUAUUAGGGAAGAACAAAUGUGUAAGUAACUAUGCACGUCUUGACGGUACCUAAUCAGAAAGCCACGGCUAACUACGU